GCCUUGUGGUUCCUAGAGUCGGCUUCAAAGUGCUGAACUGUGGGUUUUUGUAAACAGGCGCACAAAUGAUCCUGUGAUUUUAUGCAUGGAAGCUGACAAUAUAGCACCUUUAUAGCCCGGUUGCAGAAACAAUU
Small nucleolar RNA from Trematomus bernacchii (emerald rockcod), 134 nucleotides. RefSeq annotates it as small nucleolar RNA SNORA84. The record is from RefSeq and is a predicted model, not a curated record. NCBI's taxonomy places the organism in Eukaryota, Metazoa, Chordata, Actinopteri, Perciformes, Nototheniidae. The transcript has a single exon.